UACAGAGGGGGCAAGCGUUGUUCGGAAUUACUGGGCGUAAAGGGCGCGUAGGCGGCCUGUUAAGUCGAACGUGAAAUCCCCGGGCUCAACCCGGGAACUGCGUCCGAUACUGGAAGGCUUGAAUCCGGGAGAGGGAUGCGGAAUUCCAGGUGUAGCGGUGAAAUGCGUAGAUAUCUGGAGGAACACCGGUGGCGAAGGCGGCAUCCUGGGACCGGCAUUGACGCUGAGGCGCGAAAGCCAGGG
RNAcentral lists this ribosomal RNA (243 nucleotides) under uncultured bacterium. RNAcentral describes it as "partial 16S ribosomal RNA". It matches the Rfam family "Bacterial small subunit ribosomal RNA", at positions 524 to 765 of the family's 1533-position model. The record is from RNAcentral.